Molecule: transfer RNA, 76 nt
Filed under: Simonsiella muelleri (Scheibenbakterien Muller 1911)
Lineage: Bacteria; Pseudomonadati; Pseudomonadota; Betaproteobacteria; Neisseriales; Neisseriaceae
Also listed under: 521 other names
Description: tRNA-Lys
Rfam family: tRNA
About the family: Transfer RNA (tRNA) molecules are approximately 80 nucleotides in length.
Source: RNAcentral
GGGUCGUUAGCUCAGUCGGUAGAGCAGCGGACUUUUAAUCCGUUGGUCGAGCGUUCGAAUCGCUCACGACCCACCA